GUGAAAUCCUCAAGGAAGGUUCUUCGUGCCACAGCUGUUCGCGGUCAUGGUGUUCGUAGCCUGCAGGUGGGAAUGCUCACCCUGGUGCCACUCCCCGUGUUUCAAUGCUGUGGGUUCACUGCUAGUCCUGGAAAAAUAGCCCUGAGCAAUUUGUGCUGCAGAUAGAGGGCUGAAGUUCAGUUCUUGCUGAGGUUUCCUGGCUUAAUACUUAAGCACAGUGCCCUCUGUUCACUGUCUAUAAGAGCCAAUCGAUUGAUGAUACAGCUGCCUUGGUGUACCCCCAGCCCAGUGCAGACAGCAGUUUAUCCCACAGCUCCAGAAUUCAAUACAACAUGGAAAAGGAGACAAAAAGAAGUUUUAUGAAAAUUCCAAACCAUGUAGCUUUCCCAAGCUACUGCAAGCACUGUGCAGUUAUGCAUGAAGCAAUAAAAAAUGCUGCCCCAGCCUCCUUUUUGCUGGGAAAGAGUAACUGACAUUAGGCAUAAAUUUUACAGGAUUCAGAUUC
Non-coding RNA from Cyanistes caeruleus (blue tit), 505 nucleotides. Lineage: Eukaryota; Metazoa; Chordata; Aves; Passeriformes; Paridae. The record is from RefSeq and is a predicted model, not a curated record.